AUUUGUUUUCGAUGUGGAGGUAGAUCUACUUUUUCGACAGAACUAACAAAACAAAAGUGUAAACUGAUGAAUCAAUCAUAGUUGCCAAGGCUCAAACUUAUAAAUGACUUGGAAUGGCGCCCCACUUCCUGGAAUACUAACGUAAUCAUCCGGAACCAAAUAGUCUUUUCCAGGACUCUUAAGCCACAAACGGUCAUUCUCAGGACCCCAGAAGUAACAUAAAGAGCUUAUUUAAAACACUGUCUUAAAUCGUUGGCCUUGAAUACAAAAGCAAUCUUUAGAAACCAAAUGGUCCUUUUCAACAUUACAAAAUCUUAAACGAUCAAAUGGUAUCAAAUCAAUCAGUAUCUGUACACAUCUCGAAUGCAUGCACCCAACAUAGAUUGCCUUGCCAUUCGUAAGAAAACGGAAACCAAUUAAGAUCUCGAGUAGACUGGUAAAGAGUUUGUUUGGUCAUCAACUAACAAAACCUGAAUGCUAGCAGAGUUUACCCUGUACGAGAUAAUGUUAGCACCAUCGUCAAAUAAGUUCGACAGAUGUACCAUAACGAAGCGACAGAAUAUUCGUGAUAUGUCUCACGCAUAAAUGUCACAAAAAACAUUUCAAUCGCCGUGAAAGAAUCUCAUUGGACCGUGGAACGAAAGGAAUGAUCACAUGUCGGCCAAGGUCAGGCCUCGAGGUUUAUCGUUGGCAUCAAAGGAAGAGUUCAGACGAACCCAGUGCGUUCAAUGAGGAAAAUGGCGGAGGAAAACGUAAUCAGCGACUUUACGGUAUGGAAAAUAGCGAAGGAAGAUUGUGGGCGAAGUCGAGGACACGGAAAAAUAUUACAUGAUUACCAACCGCAUCCUGGAGCUACGAGUCGAACAAUGUAAGAAAAUAUCGAAAUUCUUCAAACCAAAAAUUCACGUAACCUAGUUCACCGACAAGAAUAUGUUUACCGUUAAUCCCUUAUCUAAUACCAGAACCUACCGCUAUAUUAUACCGUAUUUCGUACCACGUGUUCGUUUUACUCGGAGUCAGAGUAGCCCGCGUCUAGGUUCAAAAACGAAAACGGUAUUAGUUUUCUCCCGGUAAAGUUUGAUCCGAAGCCAAAUGUUGUAUUUCAACAAAAUGGGACUCCGUGCCACACCGUGAAUCGCACUCAGAAAUAAUUACAGGAACAUUUUCCGUUCUGGAUGAAAGAUAUAUAGCCACCAUCCAGCUCAGAUCCUCAUCUGCUGGAUUACUAAGGCGUGUCAGGAUGACCGAGGCCUGUUCUAAAAGCCACCCGUAUACAGCAAGCCUCACAAAAACAUCGACCCGUAUCUGGAAUGAAAUAACUGCAGCAAGUGGAAACUAUCUAAAUGUUCAAGACUCAGAGAAUCAUUCCCCAGUUGAAUAAAUAAUGAAAAUCGACAAAAAAACUGGAUAUGAAGAGGAAGUUAUAAUACUUUAUAUAAAUUUCCAGAAUAUAUGAACCAGCUUUGUGUGACAAAGUAUAGACCAUAAUUCUGAAUAUUUCUGGAUAACGAAUGGAUCGAAGCUUUUGGUAGUUUUGAUAAACUACUUGGAACUUGUAUGCUAAAUAGACGCACACGCCUUAGGCGACUUUGUAUGUAUAAAAAAGUGAAAUUUAGAUGAAACUUUUUUUUCAAUGGACAAUUGUA
Molecule: long non-coding RNA, 1646 nt
Organism: Malaya genurostris
Lineage: Eukaryota; Metazoa; Arthropoda; Insecta; Diptera; Culicidae
Exons: 3
Source: RefSeq, a predicted model, not a curated record